GAUAAACGCUGGCGGCGCACAUAAGACAUGCAAGUCGAACGAACUUAGGCGUUAGUUUACUAAUGAAGCGGUUAGUGGCGGACUGGUGAGUAACACGUAAGCAACCUGCCUAUUAGAGGGGAACAACAGUUAGAAAUGACUGCUAAUACCGCAUAUGCCAUAAGUAUCGCAUGAUACAAGUGGGAAAGGAGCAAUCCGCUAAUAGAUGGGCUUGCGUCUGAUUAGAUAGUUGGUGGGGUAACGGCCUACCAAGUCGACGAUCAGUAGCCGAGUUGAGAGACUCUACGGCCACAUUGGGACUGAGAUACGGCCCAGACUCCUACGGGAGGCAGCAGUCGGGAAUAUUGCGCAAUGGAGGAAACUCUGACGCAGUGACGCCGCGUGCAGGAAGAAGGUUUUCGGAUUGUAAACUGCUUUAGACAGGGAAGAAAAAGACAGUACCUGUAGAAUAAGCUCCGGCUAACUACGUGCCAGCAGCCGCGGUAAUACGUAGGGAGCAAGCGUUAUCUGGAUUUAUUGGGUGUAAAGGGUGCGUAGACGGGAAAAUAAGUUAGUUGUGAAAUCCCCAUGCUUAACAUGGGAACUGCAACUAAAACUGUUUUUCUUGAGUGCUGGAGAGGAAAGUGGAAUUCCUAGUGUAGCGGUGAAAUGCGUAGAUAUUAGGAGGAACACCAGUGGCGAAGGCGACUUUCUGGACAGUAACUGACGUUGAGGCACGAAAGUGUGGGGAGCAAACAGGAUUAGAUACCCUGGUAGUCCACACCGUAAACG
This 771-nucleotide ribosomal RNA is filed under the name uncultured bacterium. RNAcentral describes it as "bacterial SSU rRNA". It matches the Rfam family "Bacterial small subunit ribosomal RNA", at positions 28 to 808 of the family's 1533-position model. The record is from RNAcentral.